GCGGGCGUGGCGGAAUCGGUAGACGCAGCGGACUCAAAAUCCGCCAUUCGCAAGGAUAUGUCGGUUCGAGUCCGACCGCCCGCACCA
This 87-nucleotide transfer RNA is filed under the name Endobacter medicaginis. RNAcentral's name for it is "tRNA-Leu". It matches the Rfam family "tRNA". Rfam says of the family: Transfer RNA (tRNA) molecules are approximately 80 nucleotides in length. Their secondary structure includes four short double-helical elements and three loops (D, anti-codon, and T loops). The record is from RNAcentral. Lineage: Bacteria; Pseudomonadati; Pseudomonadota; Alphaproteobacteria; Acetobacterales; Acetobacteraceae.